CCCGACUCCUACGGGAGGCAGCAGUGCGGAAUAUUGGUCACUGGGCGGAAGCCUGCCCCAGCCAAGUCGCUUGAGGGAAUACGGCCCUGCGGGUCUCCUCCCUCUUUGGACUUUGAGCAAGGCCGCCGACGUGUCUUCUUCCGGAGAGUCCCCUUCGAACAAGCCUCGUCUAACUCCUUUCCCGCAGCCGCUGUCCUCCGGAGGAUGCGCUCGUUAUCCGGCUUUAUUGGGUUUAAAGGGUGCGCAGGCGGCACGGCAAGCCGGAGGUCAAAUCGCGGGGCUCAACCCCGCCCAGCCGUCGGAACUGCCGGGCUAGAGUGGGCGAGAAGUGCGCGGAAUGCGUGGUGUAGCGGUGAAAUGCAUAGAGAGCAAGCAGAACUCCGAUUGCGAAGGCAGCGCACCGGCGCCCUACUGACGCUCAGGCACGAAAGCGUGGGGAUCGAACAGGAUUAGAUACCCGGGUA
RNAcentral lists this ribosomal RNA (464 nucleotides) under uncultured bacterium. Its description in RNAcentral is "bacterial SSU rRNA". It matches the Rfam family "Bacterial small subunit ribosomal RNA", at positions 331 to 792 of the family's 1533-position model. The record is from RNAcentral.